RNAcentral lists this ribosomal RNA (394 nucleotides) under uncultured Chrysophyceae. Its description in RNAcentral is "partial small subunit ribosomal RNA". It matches the Rfam family "Eukaryotic small subunit ribosomal RNA", at positions 30 to 432 of the family's 1831-position model. The record is from RNAcentral. Lineage: Eukaryota; Chrysophyceae.
GCUUGUCUCAAAGAUUAAGCCAUGCAUGUCUAAGUAUAAACAAAUCUAUACUGUGAAACUGCGAAUGGCUCAUUAUAUCAGUUAUAGUUUAUUUGAUGAUCUCUUACUACUUGGAUAACCGUAGUAAUUCUAGAGCUAAUACAUGCACAAAAUCCCGACUUACGAAGGGAUGUAUUUAUUAGAUGGAAACCAAUGCGGGGCAACCCGGUAUAUGGUGAUUCAUAAUAACUUUCGGAUCGAUCUUCGGAUCGAUGCAUCAUUCAAGUUUCUGCCCUAUCAGCUUUGGAUGGUAGGGUAUUGGCCUACCAUGGCUUUAACGGGUAACGGAGAAUUAGGGUUCGAUUCCGGAGAGGGAGCCUGAGAAAUGGCUACCACAUCCAAGGAAGGCAGCAGG